GGUGUUGUGGCUCAGUGGCAGAGCACUUGCCUAGCAUGUGUGAGGCAUUAAGUUCAAUUCUCACCAUCA
This 69-nucleotide transfer RNA is filed under the name Marmota monax (woodchuck). RNAcentral describes it as "tRNA.Ala". It matches the Rfam family "tRNA". Rfam says of the family: Transfer RNA (tRNA) molecules are approximately 80 nucleotides in length. Their secondary structure includes four short double-helical elements and three loops (D, anti-codon, and T loops). The record is from RNAcentral. Lineage: Eukaryota; Metazoa; Chordata; Mammalia; Rodentia; Sciuridae.